ACUCUCUGCACAUCCAUGUUCUCCAAAGGUGAGUUUUACAAAAUAGCCAAUACUAUAGGUUAGGAGAUGCAUCUGCCCAUUUAAAAAUAAAAGUAACCAUAGUUGGAAGCACAUGCAACUGGCUGAGGAUUUAUGCUGGCCUGAGUUAUAUAACUGGCUGAGGAUUUAUGCUGAAAGACAAAAGCAGUAUUACAAUCAAUAGUCUAUGAAGAUGUGAAACGAGAGCUUGAAAGAUGUGUUCAUGAGCUGCAUUCAAUGGUGCUUUUUCAAGAGGCAACUGGACUGUCUUGUUAUUCUUUGAAGAUGUUUCGCUUCUCAUCCAAGAAGCUUCUUCAGCCCUGGACUGGAAUCUGUGAUCAAGAAGAAUUCAUUCCAAGAAAAAGGGGAACAAAACAAUAAACACAAUAGAUGACUA
Pantherophis guttatus is the source of this 415-nucleotide long non-coding RNA. RefSeq lists it as uncharacterized. The record is from RefSeq and is a predicted model, not a curated record. NCBI's taxonomy places the organism in Eukaryota, Metazoa, Chordata, Lepidosauria, Squamata, Colubridae.